UGGUGAGUAACGCGUGAGGAACCUGCCUUCCAGAGGGGGACAACAGUUGGAAACGACUGCUAAUACCGCAUGACACAUUUGAAUCGCAUGGUUUGAAUGUCAAAGAUUUAUCGCUGGAAGAUGGCCUCGCGUCUGAUUAGCUAGUAGGUGGGGUAACGGCCCACCUAGGCGACGAUCAGUAGCCGGACUGAGAGGUUGACCGGCCACAUUGGGACUGAGAUACGGCCCAGACUCCUACGGGAGGCAGCAG
This 250-nucleotide ribosomal RNA is filed under the name uncultured bacterium. RNAcentral's name for it is "partial 16S ribosomal RNA". It matches the Rfam family "Bacterial small subunit ribosomal RNA", at positions 104 to 354 of the family's 1533-position model. The record is from RNAcentral.